RNAcentral lists this ribosomal RNA (969 nucleotides) under Triticum aestivum (bread wheat). RNAcentral's name for it is "partial small subunit ribosomal RNA". The record is from RNAcentral. Lineage: Eukaryota; Viridiplantae; Streptophyta; Magnoliopsida; Poales; Poaceae.
AUGAGUCCGUUCGGCAAGAAACCCUGGGGCAUCACCGUCGGCCGAGACUCCAACGGCUCGUUCCUGGGUGAUGGGUGGCCACAGUUUGUUGCCGUGCACGGCAUUGGCGUCGGCUGCUACUUGGUGUUCAAGCAUGUAUUGCGCGGCACGGUCACCCUAAAGGUGUUCGACGACGGCUUUGUUAUUAAACCAUUCGGCCUAACAAUUACUGUUUUGAGCCCAGCUGAGAUCGAGAAUGCAUUUGCUCGUAAGCCCCAGUUCAUUGUGCCAUUUCAGACAAGUUUCAAGGAAAAGAUGCCUAUCCCUCCUGAGUUUCUGCGGCGAGGAUACAUCUCAGAAGAAGACCUGAGCAGACCGAAACCGGCAGCCAUUUUUUCGACAUCCUGGCAUGUCGACCUCGAGAAGGAUGGCCCGAAUGUCUUCUUCGCCGGACCCUUAUGGCCAAAGUUUCUGGAACACAAAAACCUGUCUGAAACUCAUGUCCUGCUGAUCAAGUAUCACGGGCGCAUGACCUUCUCAUUGGAGACCUAUGGACAUGGGAAUAAUGAGCACAUUGAGGAAGAAACAAGCUCGUCUCAGCAAAGCGAGCAAUCUCCUGGAGCACAAAGCCAAGAGGAAGAACAUGUUUCCACUCCGAAAACUCCGAAAAGGAAACGAAAGGAUGGUAGAAAGCCCAACAACUUCAGGGCACCUAAACAAGAAGACAAAAGUUUGCCACGGCCCUUCGGAUUCGUGGAGAGUUGCAAGAUCGCGCUCAAGCCCAUGGAGAGCGACAAUUCUUGGGAGGUGGAAGGUGUGGCCUUGUAUCCGGGCACCAGAAAGGCUACGAAUAGGCUUGUAACAGGCUGGCCAAAAUUCUGCAAGGAGAACGGGCUCAAGGCAGGAGACACCUGCACUUUCAAAGUCGUCGACAGUACGCUGUGGCAUGUUGUCAUCGACCGCUAUGCUGCUGCACUUCAAAUUGCAUAA